UCUCCAGAACGGCGGUGGCAUAAAGAAGAAGAAAAUGGUGGGAAAGAGAAAAUGCUAGCCACAAUGAAAUACAAGGGGUAGCGUGGAACAAUCAUGAAUUGGUGAAAUACAAGGGUAGCGUGGCGUGUCCACCGUGGGAUUUGACAGAGUCCAAUUGAACCUCACGUAAUAUAGAGGUGGGCCAUGGAGUAUUGAGAUGGUGGGACCAU
Molecule: long non-coding RNA, 209 nt
Filed under: Elaeis guineensis (African oil palm)
Lineage: Eukaryota; Viridiplantae; Streptophyta; Magnoliopsida; Arecales; Arecaceae
Description: long non-coding RNA (EGUI_LNC021945)
Source: RNAcentral